GUAGUCAGGGAUCUCUGGGGUGAAGUCACGGCUCUGUGGAGUGGAGUCAGAGCUUUGUGGGUGGAGUCAGGAGUUCUGUUGGUUGGAGUCAGGGCUCUGUGAGGUGGACUCAGGGGCACGGAGCUUCUUAUCGGAGGCUGUCUGGAGGGAGUCUGUGGUUCUGGCACGGCGAUGGUUGUGGGGUAGUGAAGCUGCACUGGGGGCUGGUGCCUGCUUGCUGACUGAUGAGCAUUCUGGGGACUGACGUGGGGAGCAAAAGCCUACCUCUCUCUCUACCUGUUUAAGGCCCACGACAUGGCUACAGAGUGGAGAAGGUGCGAAGGCCAACCUCCCUUCUGAGAGGACAGCGGGGGCCUGGGCAUGUCGGCCCGGUGCUCCUUGAAUCUCAGGAGAAAAGGCCUAGGACGCAGAGGGAUGGUGGAUGCUGGGUCCUGGCAGGUGGAUAGAGGGAACCGAGACGGGUAGAAAUUCCUGGAAAAUGAAGAGAGCGCUAUUUCAGAGGGGGAACAUCUCUGAAUCAGAGGAGGCAGCUGCUGACUUUUGCUGAAAGGGAAAGGAACCUUCAGGACAGCGGUGGUGGCAUCAGCUGGGCCGCCUAGGGCUCCGCAGCCCUAAGCCUGCACCGGCCCUGUCCUUCCCUUGGGGCGACGGGACCUCCCCGCAGGGCCCUGCGCAUGGGGACUGGGGCAUGGGACAGGGCUCCGCAGAGAAGACCUGCCUGAGCCGGGCAGCUGGGCCCACCAAGGCCGCCAGACAGCCCAAACCCUUCCCAGGCUGCAGGGAGGCCCCAGCUGGUGUGGCCUCAAACCGGCAUCUGUUUCUUCACUCCUGGGGCUCCCUUUGAACUUGAACCUUGCAAAGCCCAAGUAACAAUAAAAAAGCCAAGGAACAGGUGCUGCUGCAGAGGACGGAGGACAGGCCGGCUGGGAGCCUCAGGGGGUGUCGCCUUUGUUUCAGCGCCUUCAGUCUCCCCGCUUCCGCAUGAAACUGCUCGGGACCCACGUCAGCGCCAAGUUCCAACAAGGAAAAUAUAGCAGCGCACAAUAUGUUGUUUUGGCAGAAAGCUAUGAAUUUUAGUAUGGAAUGUCUGUCACAGGGCCCAUCCAAUUAACUCACUUGUCGAGAAAUCAGAAUAAAUAGUUGAGAGGAGGCGACUGCAGCUUUGCUCAGACCUUUAUUUCUCAUUUGUUUUCAUGGUUAAGCAGGUCUGCAGUCACCAGGAUGUAUAUUUAGGGCAGGGAAGGAGAGAAUACGCAUCUUCACGGUGGUUCUCCCUUUGGAGGGAAAGAAGGGUAUUUUCUAUGCAUUUUGGAGGAGGGAAUUCUGGUGAGCUUCUGUUUUAGAAAAGUGUUAUGGAGGCAACCCUGGCAAACUCCCUCGAGUUUUGGACUCAGUGCUGUUGAGUCUGAGACAAGGACUGGGCCCUACCAGAGAAGUUUCUCUUCCUCCUUAGGUUAUCCACGGUGGCUGGUGAGCAUGGCUGUGCCGGAGGAGUUUGAAAUUCUUGCUUCAGGCCAUAUGGAGUGGAUAUUCCUUCCAGAAGGAAAUUACAGACCACUCUCUGUUUCUACUCAACUGCUUUUCACUCCAGGAUGCUUCACCUCUUGGGGCCUUCCCCAGCAGAGGCCCAGGAUCACCUGCAAAAGGCUUCCCCAAGGGUGGGGCCAGAAGCAGGGCUGCAGAUAUGUGUCCUGAACCUCCCAUGGACCCUGCUGGCUCCCUUCAAAGGCUUCGGGCAUAGCGACUUGCCUUUCCGUCUUGUUCAGUCGUCACCAGUCAGCCGUCUGCAGACUUCUCUCCCUCACGUUGUGGCAGAGGAGUUGUACAUUCUCUAGAUUUUAAAAAUAUAUAAGUUACUUUUUCUUUAAAAUAAAAAUUGUCUCUGAAAUAAGCUCCCA
This 1898-nucleotide long non-coding RNA is filed under the name Homo sapiens (human). RNAcentral's name for it is "non-protein coding LINC00545:5". The record is from RNAcentral. Lineage: Eukaryota; Metazoa; Chordata; Mammalia; Primates; Hominidae.